GCCGCGUGUAUGAAGAAGGCCUUCGGGUUGUAAAGUACUUUCAGCGGGGAGGAAGGGAGUAAAGUUAAUACCUUUGCUCAUUGACGUUACCCGCAGAAGAAGCACCGGCUAACUCCGUGCCAGCAGCCGCGGUAAUACGGAGGGUGCAAGCGUUAAUCGGAAUUACUGGGCGUAAAGCGCACGCAGGCGGUUUGUUAAGUCAGAUGUGAAAUCCCCGGGCUCAACCUGGGAACUGCAUCUGAUACUGGCAAGCUUGAGUCUCGUAGAGGGGGGUAGAAUUCCAGGUGUA
This 289-nucleotide ribosomal RNA is filed under the name uncultured bacterium. RNAcentral's name for it is "partial 16S ribosomal RNA". It matches the Rfam family "Bacterial small subunit ribosomal RNA", at positions 396 to 677 of the family's 1533-position model. The record is from RNAcentral.